AAAAAUUAAAAUUUAUAUAUUUUUUAAUUCUGGAUAUUAUUAGUAGCUUUUAGAAUUAAUUAUAUGUGUUAGCUUAAAAAAAAUUGGCAGUAAUGAAUUUUAAUAUAAUUAUUAAAAUUAGAAUUAGAAUUUUAAGGAAGUAAGGUUAAAUAUGUGCCAGCAGCAGCGGUUAAACUUGUUUAUUAAGUUACUUUAUUAGAUUAAUAAAAUUUAUUUUUUAAAUUAAUUUUUUUAAAUUAAUUUUGGGUAAAAUCAUUAUUUAAUUUUAUUUUGAGAAAGGAUAUUUGAGAAAAAGAAUAAAAAAUAGGAUUAGAUACCCUAGUAUCCUUUUCGUAAAUUUAUUAUUUGGGGAAUAUUGUUUAUGAUAUAUAAAUUCAAAGAAUUUGGCGGUAUAAUAAUUUUUUAGGGGAGUUUGUUUUUUAAUUCGAUAAUCCACGAUUUACCUUACUUUAUUUUUAAAGUUUACACAUUUCCGUUAUAUAGGUUUAUCUUAAAAAUGGUUAAUAAACUAAUUAUUAUUUAAAUAAUAUUUAAAUCAGGUAAAUAAGUAGUUUUAAUAAAGGAUAAAAUGAGCUACAAUUGUUAAAAACAUGAAUUGAAAGACUUUUUGAAAAAGAAAUUUGAAAUUGAACUUAAAAGUAAUAUUUACAUUAGAUAAGUAAUUUGAAUAAAAUAAAUUAUAUGUACAAAUCGCCCGAUGCUCCCCCUGAAAAGGGGGAUAAAUCGUAACAAAGUAGAAUUAUCAGAAGAUGAUUCUAGAGUUUU
This 765-nucleotide non-coding RNA is filed under the name Nymphon australe. The record is from RNAcentral. Lineage: Eukaryota; Metazoa; Arthropoda; Pycnogonida; Pantopoda; Nymphonidae.